RNAcentral lists this long non-coding RNA (3988 nucleotides) under Homo sapiens (human). RNAcentral describes it as "MIR31 host gene". Lineage: Eukaryota; Metazoa; Chordata; Mammalia; Primates; Hominidae. The record is from RNAcentral.
UUCUUUGAGGAUUGUUAACUAGGGAAAAGCACCCUUCAAUUUCCCCUCUGACAACCUCCCAGGCACAGAGGCCUUAUUCCCUUUACUUCACAUAGGGAAUGAUUCUUUGGAAAUAUUUCCAGACAGCAAUUCCUAAAUAGAGACAAGAUAGAUUUUCUACUUUUGCAGAAAUGUACUUUUGUCAGCUGCAGUCGUUCCAGACUGUGAUCAAGUCUGGAGAGUCGUUUAUUGAGGAGGAUCUUAUGCCAAACAGCCAGUGUGUCGUCCCUGGGGAAGAGGCUGAAGAUCUGCUGGAGCAGCUGACGGUGGAAACGGAUGUCUCCUGUCUUCUGGAUUUGGGUGAUAGUUCCUCGUUUCCUAGAAAACUUGAACCAUGGCUCCAAGACUUGUCCCUGCCAAGUGAGCAGGCAGCGCUGGAGAUGAGCAUGAUGACUCCCGCCAUUACCAGGGAGGUGUAGGCCACUGUGAUUUCAGAGAUUCACUAGCCGGCCUCGAAGGGGCGCGGGCCCGCUGCGCAAAGAGCGCAAAGCUCCCAGCGCUGCGCACCACGGCCGCAGCAAGGCGCCAGAAUGGGUUUUCCUGAUGCCCAGGAUUUGGGAACCGCGGGUUUGAGUUUCGGGGCGUCCCGCAGCCCCAGGGAAACGUCGUCGCGGCUUAUCGCGCCAACUUUGUGCAGCUUCGACCUGAGUAAAAAAAUCUCUUUUGCUGCUCAGGAGGCAGCUCCGCCGUGGUCUCCCUUGAGACAUCUUCCUCAGGUAGCCAGCAGGGCACCUUUUAUUUUCGGGAUUUUCCCCUGGGUUUGGGGCUUUUAUUUCCCAUAGAGACUUCAGCGAGACUUGUUUUUACAGAGGGACCCGUUGAUUCCGGGACUUGAGGGCUCGAGAUCGCACGGGUUUAAUCUUGGGGAUUCCGUUUGUGUGGGGGCGCAGGGCGGGGACGUCUUGGGGAAGGGGACACGCUGGACCCUGGGGCGAGCGGACGGGUCCUGGGAGCGCCCGGGGCUGGGGACGCCGCGCACCGGGCCAGGAGCAGAGAGGCGCCCGUGCCUGCCCCAGGGUGUGCCAGGAGCUAAGCUUUCAGCUUCAGACGCCAGUGUCGCUGAAACCAUAAUUCAGGUAUGUUAAAACUCAACAGCAUUAUUUUAAAUACUUUAUACCAAAACAAGAAUGUUGUGAUCUUACUUCCCUAGCUUUAAAGGAAGCAAACUCAGCAAUGCUUUCAAGAUCCCUACUUUGUUUUAUCUGGGAGAAGUGCCAUGUCUGACAUUUCCAGUGACUCAGUGACACUGAGAUAAUUUUAUUUAACUUUGGUUUACUGAAAGCCCUUCCUCAAGACCCCACCUUGACUUGUGUUGCUGAAAAGAGAAAUGAGCAGUGUUGCCUACAAAGAGUAGAGGAGCAGGUCAGAACUUUUUAUUUUCUAGGGUAAGAAUUUUAUAGCCUGAGUGGAGUUUGCCAUAAUUUGUUACACUGGCCCCUCUCCUUUGUAAGACCCUCAGGGUCAUCUUACAUUUCCUGCCUUUACUUAAUUAAAAUUUUGAUAUUUGCCUCAUCAUGGAUGUUUAGGCAUUAAUUUCCAAUUUUAAUAUUGUAUUAAAAUAGUAUUUGAGUUGAUAAUUUAAGUAUAUAUUUUAAAUAUAUAAAGGAUAUAUAUUUUUAUAUUGAUCUAUUUUAUAUGUGUGUUUCUGUACAUUUAAAUACUUACGUAUACAUAUUUAUAUAUUUCAGCAUAUACUUUAUAUAAAAUUAUAACAUAUGUAUAUAUUUAUAUAUUUAAAUACCCAUAAUAUAUAAAAUGUAAGUAUAUAUUCUACAUAUACUUACAUAUAUAUAUAGAUAUAGAGUUAUAAACUAAAACUAAAAAUAAAAUACUAAGCCACCCAUUGGCUGAACAUGCCCCCUUUUGGCCAAUGGAACCCCUAAAAACCUUAACUGAAUUCUCAACCAUGAUGGGAAGCAGGAUGGACACGCCUCAUUAUAUCCCCCUCCGUUUUGGAGUAUGGACACAAACUGGCCAGCAUUGAUGUUAUAAGAGAGAUAAUAAGACAAAACAGACUUUGUGGCAAUAAGAUACCAAAUUAUAAGCAAGACCUAAGGCCAUGCAAGGCGAGAGUUAUGUACUGCAAACCAUAAAAUCUCCUUAAAUGGAUUUUUAAAAAUUAACCCAGUAAAAUGUGGCUCACUUUCUAACCUAACUCUCAUAUAAUACCAUAUGGCAGAUUGCAGACCCAUUUAUCUUAAUUUAAGCAUUCUUUUCUAAUGACUUCAAGUCUUUAGACAAAGCUUAACUGUUUCAACCAAUUGCCAGCUAAAGAAUCCCUGAAACCCACCUGUGACUUUUAAAUCCCCACUUUGAGAUGUCUUGCCUUUUCUGGCCAAACCACUGUAUACCUUCCAUGUAUUGAUUUAUGAUUUUACCUGCAAUUCGUAUCUCCCUGAAAUGUCUAAAACCAAAUUAUAACCCAACCACCUUGGGUGCACUUUUUCAGGACCUCUUAAAACUGUUUCUCCAGGAUAUGGUCACUCAUAUUGGCUCAGAAUAAACUUCUUUAAAAUAUUUUCCAGUCUUACAGACAAUUUCCUCUCCUAGAGUUUCCAUUUAGGAGGCGCCAAUGUGCAAGACCCUGAGAGUGUCAGGGGAGCUGCAAUCAAAGCUUUUCUUGGAUGGACUUGGUUGAAUAUGGACUAUACAGAUUAUAAAUACAUGGUUGUAUGUAUAUAUAUAUUUUUUCUAUAUAGUUCACAAAUGCAAACUAUAUAGAUUAUACUAAAGGUUACUAUCUGUAUUAGUCUGUUCUCAUGCUGCUACUAAAGACAUACCCAAGACUGAGUAAUUUAUAAAGGAAAGAGGUUUAAUUGACUCACAGUUCCACAUGGCUGGGGAGGCCUCACAAUCAUGGCGGAAGGUGAAUGAGGAGCAAAGUCAUGUCUUACAUGGUGGCAGGCAAGAGAGAGCUUGUGCAGGGAGGAGAACCCCCAUUUAUAAAACCAUUGGAUCUUGUGAGACUUAUUCGCUACCACGAGAACAAUAUGGGAGAAACUGCCCCCAUGAUUCAAUUAUCUCCACCUGGCCCCACUAUUGACAUGUGGGAAUUAUUACAAUUCAAGGUGAGAUUUGGGUGGAGACACAGCCAAACCACAUCACUAUAAUUUAUCAUGUUCAGAUUCUCAGCCAGUAAUUUCCAAACUUUAUUUCAUUUAAUCUUUACAGUUUCUAAUAUGACAACUACUAAAAUAUUCUGAAUUUUUCAGAAGAGGAAAUGAAAAUCUGAUGUUUAACUUGCUAAGAGUCACAGAUUUUGUCAGAAAGUGGAGCUUUCUACUGCCUCCAACUCCCCUCUUGAUUUGCUCUCAGUACUUCCUCUUGGCAGCACUGAGAAUGCUAGUGCUUAAUUAAUCAUAAUCGUGUCUUUAAUGUCUGGCUUUUGCUCCCUGGAGGGCAAUCAUCAUCCUGUCUUAUUAUCCUUGAACCCACAUUGCCAAGCACAUUGUUUGUCCCGUAUAUGCAGUGAACACAUUUUUAGUGACAGAAUGAAGACAACUGGAUGAGUUAACCGUUGGUAUGCCAGUUUUAUGCCCUGUGAUCUGUAGAUUGUGAUCUGUGGCUCCUGUAAAGAAAGGUGGAAGAAAUCAAAUCUAGUGCAUUAGCCCCUUAAAAGGGAAAUGGAGAGAGGUGAGGAAAUGUGUAUUUCAGUGCAGUUUAAUAUGUAAAAAUGGGCCAGGCACAGUGGCUCACGCCUGUAAUCCUAGCACUUGGGAGGCCGAGGCAGGCAGAUCACUUGAGGCGAGGAGUUCGAAACCAGCCUGGCCAACAUGGUGAAAACCUGUCUCUACUAAAAAUACAGAAAAAUUAGCCAGGCAUGGUGGCAGGUUCCUGUAAUCCCAGCUACUUGGGAGGCUGAGGCAGGAGAAUUGCUUGAACCCAGGAGGCAGAGGUUGCAGUGAGCAGAGAUCGCACCAUUGCACUCCAGCCUGGGUGACAGAGAGAG